This 404-nucleotide ribosomal RNA is filed under the name uncultured bacterium. RNAcentral describes it as "partial 16S ribosomal RNA". It matches the Rfam family "Bacterial small subunit ribosomal RNA", at positions 28 to 526 of the family's 1533-position model. The record is from RNAcentral.
GACGAACGCUGGCGGCGUGCUUAACACAUGCAAGUCGAGCGGAGCGGCGAACGGGUGAGUAACGCGUGAAUAACUUCCCCCCUCUCUGGGAUAACAGUUGGAAACGGCUGCUAAUACCGGAUCGUGUGGGUUGACUCGCGUCCUAUCGGCUUGUUGGUUGGGUAGUGGCCUACCAAGGCGACGACGGGUAUCCGCCCUUAGAGGGCGACCGGCCACAUUGGGCUCAGAUACGGUGCAAACUCCUACGGUAGGCAGCAGUGGGGAAUCUUGCACAAUGGGGCAAACUCUGAUGCAGCAACGCGCGUGCGGAAUGACGGCCGUCGGGUUGAAAACCGCUUUCAGCCAUGACGCGGUAGUGGCAGAAGAAGCAACGGCUAACUACGUGCCAGCAGCCGCGGUAAUUC